RNAcentral lists this small RNA (886 nucleotides) under Pongo abelii (Sumatran orangutan). RNAcentral describes it as "retained intron". Lineage: Eukaryota; Metazoa; Chordata; Mammalia; Primates; Hominidae. The record is from RNAcentral.
AGGAAUUGAGUUGAUAACAAAAUUUCUUCAGUAUGAAUCUAAGAAAAGGGUUUCAGCUGAAGAGGCCAUGAAACAUGUGUACUUUCGAAGUCUGGGACCAAGAAUACAUGCUUUACCAGAAAGUAAGAGAAAUCCUAAAGUGUUUUCCCCGCUUUAUUUGUCCAAGGUUAGGGACUGGGGUGAUUGGGGAGAUGGCUAUUGAUUUUUAAGCCUAAGAUUCUAGUCUUUUCUAUAGUUAGAUUAGAAUUUCUUGAAGGGAGGUGUGUGUCUUAUUUCCCUAUGAUUUAGUUAUUUCUUGUAACACUGAGCACAUUGUCACUCCUCUGUAGGAAACCAAUAGUACCUAGGCAAGGAUCAUUAAUCUUAUUGGACUUUAGUUGAAACAUGCCAUCUGAUGACAGGCAUUGUCCCUAGGCCCAAUCUAGCUUUGAUUUAGCGUUGUUAAAAGUGAAUUUCAAACAAAAACUAAUGAAGCAUAACCGAAACAUAAAUUGUUUUCUUGUGAAAAUACAUUUUUUCUUAAGAUACAAAGAUGAUUUUCCUUUAUUGUGGUCACACUGACUUUACUGUCCCCAUGACAGCAGUGAGCAUAUUGUCAAAGUCACUGUAAUAGCAGAUUUCCCAUGCCUGAGUAACGUUGAUUUUACUCGUAACAUUCUAUUUUUAGAUUACCACAGUAUUUUACUUUAAAAUAGAGUAAGGUGAGUGGGGAAUUAGAAGAAUGUUUGGGAACUAAGCUGCCAAAAGCUUUCAUUAAUUUCCUAUUCUCAUUUAUUAGACAAUAUUGAUUCAUCAAAGCUUGUGUAGCAGUCAGUGACAAAGCUAAUUGGAAUAAAAAAUCCUUAAUACUUUUCACUUCAACUUUACUGGAUAUAUUUAAAUGAAA